Molecule: transfer RNA, 69 nt
Filed under: Sphaerodactylus townsendi
Lineage: Eukaryota; Metazoa; Chordata; Lepidosauria; Squamata; Sphaerodactylidae
Description: tRNA-Ala
Rfam family: tRNA
About the family: Transfer RNA (tRNA) molecules are approximately 80 nucleotides in length. Their secondary structure includes four short double-helical elements and three loops (D, anti-codon, and T loops).
Source: RNAcentral
GCUGUGGUUCAAUGGCUGAAUAUCUGCUUGGCAUGCAGGAAAUCCUAGAUUUAAUCCCCAGCAUCUCCA